UACGUAGGGUGCAAGCGUUAAUCGGAAUUACUGGGCGUAAAGCGUGCGCAGGCGGUUAUGUAAGACAGAUGUGAAAUCCCCGGGCUCAACCUGAGAACUGCAUUUGUGACUGCAUAGCUAGAGUACGGUAGAGGGGGAUGGAAUUCCGCGUGUAGCAGUGAAAUGCGUAGAUAUGCGGAGGAACACCGAUGGCGAAGGCAAUCCCCUGGACCUGUACUGACGCUCAUGCACGAAAGCGUGGGGAGCAAACAGG
RNAcentral lists this ribosomal RNA (253 nucleotides) under uncultured bacterium. RNAcentral describes it as "partial 16S ribosomal RNA". It matches the Rfam family "Bacterial small subunit ribosomal RNA", at positions 524 to 776 of the family's 1533-position model. The record is from RNAcentral.